CCGCGAUCCGCAGCAUUAUUACACCGGAAGAGUAAACCUGUUUUCCUCAACAUAGCUCUCAACGUUUCGGAUUUUCGAUUUGGUCUGGUGUUUUCUUUUUUUUUUUCUUUUUUUGAGGCAAUCACCGGCGCGCCGCAGCUUUAUUACACCGGGAAGGGGUAAACCUGUUUUCCUCAAGAUAGCUAUCAAUGUUGCGGGUUUUCGAUUCGGUCUGGUGUUUCUUUUUUUCUUUUUUGAGGCAAUCACAGGGGAAAUCUUCUCCACUUGAAUAUAUUACUUCAAAGAAAGAACCACAUUAUUACAAGGGGAAAUAUAGAAAACGUCACAAGCCGACGCCUGCCUUUUUUUCUCAUUUCAAUCUAAAAGUUCAUACAUAGUCCAAAUGAUCUCAAAAGAAGAGAUCAACCAUUUGUAAAAUCCCGGAUUUUUACAAAGUUAAAUUAUCGAGUUAAGUACUCGAGAUAUAUUUAGUUAGCAAAAAGAUGAGUGAGAAAAUUUUGUUUAUAUUUUUGUAAGAUUUAUAUUAGUGCUUUAAGAUUUAACCAUACUACUGGUUUGAUCGCACCGGCUAGGGAGCAGUGCCGGUCGAACCACGGUCAUGGUGAUAAUCAUAUAUGUGUGGAUUGGUUCUUAUGCAUUUCACUUUUACUCAUGUCUGUGUGCAAAUUGUGCAUCAUAUAUUGCAAACAUUCGAGGCAUACAUGC
RNAcentral lists this long non-coding RNA (705 nucleotides) under Brachypodium distachyon (stiff brome). RNAcentral describes it as "long non-coding RNA (BDIS_LNC003094)". Lineage: Eukaryota; Viridiplantae; Streptophyta; Magnoliopsida; Poales; Poaceae. The record is from RNAcentral.